UUCACACGAAUAGGCAUCCGUAGAGAAUUCUACAAUCUAGCAGCAUGAACCAUAAAUCUGCUUAGCACGUAAACGAGUAAGAAGUGAUUUUGAGGAUCAGAGACUUUGUUGAACAAGAGGAUACGUCAUGAAGAACUAGGAAAUCAAAUCGUUCACGAUGGGUCGGAAAUGCACGCGUGACACUCCUGAUAUUACAGGCGUCCAUAGACCACAAUCUAAUACAACAGUGAUCU
Long non-coding RNA from Galleria mellonella (greater wax moth), 233 nucleotides. RefSeq lists it as uncharacterized. Lineage: Eukaryota; Metazoa; Arthropoda; Insecta; Lepidoptera; Pyralidae. The record is from RefSeq and is a predicted model, not a curated record. The transcript has 3 exons.